CUCUCCCAUCAAAGCAAGGCGCUUUGGGAAGACUUGAAGGUUAUUGGUGAAAAUGAAUGCCCUUCAAAGAUCUGCGAGAACUGCUUUUUGAUUGGUUGGAAGCUGCACUUAGUACGUGGCGGAUUCUGACUGUAAAGAGGGCUGUUCCCCGAGGGAGAAAGAGUGGGAGGCGAGUCCCUAGUUGCGGGGAGUAGGCCGACCUUAAAGGGACUGCUGUUGUAGCUGUUCUAAAGCAGAGUCUAUGCGGAAAGGCAAAAGGAAAGCAGAAACAAAUAAAUAUUUCAGACGCCUGCACUGUUACAUUGUGGUGACCUGGUACGAAGUGAAGUGUCACCCUCGCUCAGGUGUCCUUGGGGACACACAGUGUUCACCUUCUCCGCACACCUCCAGGACUGGGAACCAAACCCGGGGCCUCAUCCAUGCAAGGCAAGU
Molecule: long non-coding RNA, 432 nt
Filed under: Chinchilla lanigera (long-tailed chinchilla)
Lineage: Eukaryota; Metazoa; Chordata; Mammalia; Rodentia; Chinchillidae
Description: lncRNA (ENSCLAG00000028471.1)
Source: RNAcentral